Molecule: ribosomal RNA, 253 nt
Filed under: uncultured bacterium
Lineage: Bacteria
Description: partial 16S ribosomal RNA
Rfam family: Bacterial small subunit ribosomal RNA
Source: RNAcentral
GACGAACCGUGCGAACGUUGUUCGGAAUCACUGGGCUUAAAGGGCGCGUAGGCGGACCAUCAAGUCGGGGGUGAAAUCUUUCAGCCCAACUGGAAAAGGGCUUCCGAUACUGGUGGUCUCGAGGGAGGUAGGGGUCGAGGGAACUAAUGGUGGAGCGGUGAAAUGCGUAGAUAUCAUUAGGAACGCCGGUGGCGAAAGCGCUCGACUGGACCUCUUCUGACGCUGAGGAGCGAAAGCCAGGGGAGCAAACGGG